UACGUAGGGUGCGAGCGUUGUCCGGAAUUAUUGGGCGUAAAGAGCGUGUAGGCGGCCAGGUAGGUCGGUUGUGAAAACUGGAGGCUCAACCUUCAGAGGUCGACCGAAACCAUCUGGCUAGAGUCCGGGAGAGGAGAGUGGAAUUCCUGGUGUAGUGGUGAAAUGCGCAGAUAUCAGGAAGAACACCCGUGGCGAAAGCGGCUCUCUGGAACGGUACUGACGCUGAGACGCGAAAGCGUGGGGAGCGAACAGG
Molecule: ribosomal RNA, 253 nt
Filed under: uncultured bacterium
Lineage: Bacteria
Description: partial 16S ribosomal RNA
Rfam family: Bacterial small subunit ribosomal RNA
Source: RNAcentral